CUCGCCUGCAUGAAGUUGGAAUUGCUAGUAAUCGCGAAUCAGAAUGUCGCGGUGAAUACGUUCCCGGGCCUUGUACACACCGCCCGUCACACCAUGAGAGUCGAUAACACCCGAAGCCUGUGAGCUAACCGUAAGGAGGCAGCAGUCGAAGGUGGGGUUGAUGAUUGGGGUGAAGUCGUAACAAGGUAGC
RNAcentral lists this ribosomal RNA (190 nucleotides) under uncultured bacterium. Its description in RNAcentral is "partial 16S ribosomal RNA". It matches the Rfam family "Bacterial small subunit ribosomal RNA", at positions 1311 to 1500 of the family's 1533-position model. The record is from RNAcentral.